This 267-nucleotide ribosomal RNA is filed under the name uncultured bacterium. Its description in RNAcentral is "partial 16S ribosomal RNA". It matches the Rfam family "Bacterial small subunit ribosomal RNA", at positions 88 to 353 of the family's 1533-position model. The record is from RNAcentral.
UAAGUUAGUGGCGGACGGGUGAGUAACGCGUGGGUAACCUGCCUUGUACUGGGGGACAACAGUUGGAAACGACUGCUAAUACCGUAUAAGACCACAGCACCGCAUGGUGCAGGGGUAAAAACUCCGGUGGUACAGGAUGGACCCGCGUCUGAUUAGCUGGUUGGUGAGGUAACGGCUCACCAAGGCGACGAUCAGUAGCCGGCUUGAGAGAGUGAACGGCCACAUUGGGACUGAGAGACGGCCCAAACUCCUACGGGAGGCAGCAUG